AUUCUUGAGUAAAUAAAAAUAAUUACAGCUGUAAUAACACUUCCAGUAACAGAUUUAUAUCUAAUUUCAUGGGACAAUUAAAUAUGACAAAUGGCAGUGUUGUGUUCAUACAGAUAAAGAUGUGUGUUCUGUUUUGUGUCUAGAAGAUCAUCCCUGCACUCAGAUCUGCCUCAACACCAUGAUGGGCUAAUACCUUAGUGCAAGACGUCAGGGCUACAAGCUUGGAUGCUGAUCAGAAAAAAAGUGUUCUGCGUAUUUCUCACCAGCAGAACUGGAAGUGCUUAUGCAAGCAUAUGGAGAAUAUGAAGGGGAAAAAAAAAGGGGCGAAGGACAGAGAGUUAGCUUCGGAGAAAAUAGCUGCUCGAGUCAAUGCCCAACAGAAAGAAGGCAGAGGCUCACAAAACAGGGGGAGGACCUGCACCACCACCUCUGACAAAUGCAGAGGAGAUGGUCCUGAGCCUGAUUGCUGGAAGGCCAAUGGCUGAGGGAAUUCCUGGUGGGACUUCAUCAGAACCAGUCACUCCAGAUUUAAGUGCCUUCAUAAAAUGAUGAUGAGGAUGAUGAAGAACCCGUUUCUGCUGCCACAGAGAGGCCUACAGAGGAUUCCACACUUGAGGAUCGGCUAUGUGAACUCCUGAGGAGACGAACUGCAGGUGCCUUGGAGGCUGUUAACGUCACCUCGACCACACGAUAGGCUCCGAUCGCGAGAGGACUCGGGAGGUCACUGUGAGCCGCCUCAACACCGGGAUCAGAGCAAUUGGAUGUGUGGAAGAUGCUACACAGCAUCCUGUUCUUAGGUAACAUCAAUGCUUCAGUCUACAUCCCAGAAUACAUCUUUCCUGAUGUUCACGUGUUACACAGAACCAAGAAAGAUUUCCCAAGACCAUUUGAUCUUUUCCGAACCCCCGUGGCUCAGCGAACACCUUUCUCCUACUUUCUGCAACUGUUUGUAAUGUGUGUGUUUUCCUCUCAGUUCACAGUGUAUUUCAGCCAAGUACAUGAAACCACAGUGAAGAAAAAUCUGUCUGUAUUAUUAGGUGAUUGUAAAAAAAAAAAAAAAAGGUGACAGAUACCCACUGAUUUCCAGUGUAAUAUGUGUCUGUGAGUAUAAUAACCACAUAUACUAUGGUGUGUCUCUGUCCUGUGGAGGUGAGAGAGAUCAUGACUUCUGUGUCUUGUCUGAAAGUGCGGCAUCACAAAAUCUCCUCUGCUGUGAUGUCGAAGUUUCACCCCCUGCCUGUCUCGCCGUGUUCCUCGCUCCCCCGCCUACCUCGCCGUGUUCCUCGCUCCCCCCGCCUGCCUCGCCGUGUUCCUCGCUCCCCCCGCCUGCCUCGCCGUGUUCCUCGCUCCCCCCCCGCCUGCCUCACCGUGUUCCUUGCUCCCCUCGCCGUGUUCCUCGCUCCCCCCGCCUACCUCGCCGUGUUCCUCGCGGUGUUCCUGGCUCCCCCUGCCUGCCUCGCCGUGUUCCUGGCUCCCCCCGCCUGCCUCGCCGUGUUUCCUGGCUCCCCCCGCCUGCCUGGCCGUGUUUCUUGGCUCCCCCCGCCUGCCUCGCCGUGUUUCUUGGCUCCCCCCGCCUGCCUCGCCGUGUUUCUUGGCUCCCCCCGCCUGCCUCGCCGUGUUUCUUGGCUCCUUGCUCCCUGAUUCUAACCUGGAUCAUUCCUUGUUUGGACUUUUAAACGUGUCUGGCUCGGCGCGUCGGGAGCCGCGCCUUAUGGGGGAGUAUCGUCAGGAAUUGGCUUGAACUUUUUCCUGAAUGGACACUAGUGCCUCUUUUCCACCGGAAAGAACCGGGUGCUGGUUCAGAGCUAGCACUGGUGCUGGUUCAAAGUUGGUUCCACUGGUGAACCUUCUAAGAACCGGUUUGCCUUUCCACUGGCUAGAGAGCAUCAAGAGCCGAGUGUGACGUCACUUUAUACGUGUCACGUGUCCCAGCAACUUUAGCGCAGCAGCGGCAAACACAAACACAUCAACAAUGGCGGAUGUUGCUUUACUGUUAAUGCUCAUGGCUUUGUGAACCUACAUUAACGCGGCGAAAAAAACGUGUACGUGCAGCUCCAUGUAAUCUGUAUAAACGGAGGUUGUAAUCGAUAAAGUACAUAACGUUAUUUUAUCGCUAACACAGAAAAAAGUUAGCCUUAGCAUGUAGCUACAUACUAUCAUGUGUGCUGAUAAUGUAUCAUAUUGCGGUAAAGUAAAAGUGUAUUAAACAUUAGUAUACUUAAGGUAUAUUAUCAAAUGCGCUAACAGUAGCCCCGCCCACAGCCCCUGACACAAGCGGUUCUUAAGUCUAGACCAGCAACGUUUUGGUGCUACUUAAGAACCACUUUUCCUGGUUCAGAGCCGGUGCUUUGGCGGUCGAAACAGAAAGAACUGGUUCUAAAUUAGGCUCUGGCUCCGAACCAGCACUCGAACUGCCUCGGUGGAAAAGGGGCAUAGGAGGAUAUUGUUGCUUUUGUGUCUGUGCCAUGUGAUUUAGUUUGUUUUAUGUAUCACAUGUUAGCCCCGCCCUUUUCUUAAUGUUCCCGCUUCUGCACACCUGUUCCUUGUGUUUCAGUUAUGGUCACCACUAUUUAUGCCGUGUGUCUUACGUCUGCUUUUCACCGAGUCCUUGUAUUUUGUUUUGCUGUCUCUUUGUUUGUUGUAUCUGUGUACCUGCAUUUUCUGUUUCCAGUCUCCUAGUGUUUUUUGCCCUUUGUUAUUUUUACCUUAAUAAACCCCCUUUUAUAUUAUCCUGCAUUUGGGUCUGUACUUUUAUCUGUUUAUCUAUAAUAUAUAUUAUAUAUAUAAUAUCCUGUCCUUCUAUAAUUAGUCAUAUUUGAAGCUCUAAGAUCCUGUAGGGUUGAUUCUGAAUCUGUAUGAUCCUGUCUGUAUGAGCUAUAUUUUGCCAGUAAAUAAAUAACAACAAAACCUA
Tachysurus vachellii is the source of this 2911-nucleotide long non-coding RNA. RefSeq lists it as uncharacterized. The transcript has 6 exons. Lineage: Eukaryota; Metazoa; Chordata; Actinopteri; Siluriformes; Bagridae. The record is from RefSeq and is a predicted model, not a curated record.